CUUUUAGUGCCAGGGCAACCUCAUCUGUGCCAGUCGAAUUGAAGUCAUCAACAGUGGUACUAGAUUGUGGAUAUCACAGAACCAGAACAAAUAUACCACCCGAUAGCUUUGUUCACUACUUUCCUGUGUGAAGCAUUGUGUUAAAUGCCACAGAGAGAAAGUGAGGUUAAAUCCGUAAUGGAUACUUCCUUUUGGCAGAGUAUUUACAAACAGCAAACUGUGGAGAUUUCUCAGAGCCAAACACCACAAAGCAACUCUGAGUGAAAAGUUCAAGAAUGGAAGGUCCCAAAGGUCUGGCUUCUUUUGAGCUCUCCAUUUCUCUCUUUAUCUGAUCAUCAUCAUAAUCAUAGGAUGUGGACUUUGAAGGGCUAGAAGAAACUUUAAAGAUGAUCUAUUCCACUGCACUUGGAGAGAAAACUGGGAUUUAGAGUCUGGGAGGCCGAGUGCUGAAGCAAGACAAGCAAAUGGGGGAGACGAAUGAGUUGUGGAGGUCCAGUACCUGGCCUGCUGGUCUACCAGAACAAGCCCCUGCACUGUACUGCAUUGCAAUUUCGAAACUCUUUCCAGUUCUAAAUUGUGAGAACUAUACUCUGUGCUUAAGCCUGUCCAAUGUAUUUGGUGAAAGUGUUUCUGAAAAUAAAAAGGUGUGGGAGCUGGGUGGAGCAGGAGAAAAAGGAAAACUGACAAUCCUUUCUAGCUGAAAAGCUUCCCUUUGUUACAGCUACAACUGUCAUCAGCUACUAUCUCCUGCAGCCCCAGUUGGUCUGAAGCCUUUGCUCAAAAAGGCCACCCAGCUCCUAAUGACUGUAUAUCUCAUGAUUCAAGUCUAAACACUCGUUCUUAUUGGUGGAGAGAGUGAUUAUUCAGUGCUUUGAGUCAGAGCUGGUGGAAGCUUGGGAUCUCUUGUACCAAUUCCUCCCACCACACAGACUCAGAACAUUCAGGAAUUAUUCCUUCCACCAAUGAGAAGAGUCCUUAUGCAAAUGCUGAGGCAAGCUUGGCUCCCGGGUUCCAGCUGUGUUUUUGGACAUGUUUACAAGAAGUCAGCAAGGUAUAAAUAGAAAGAAUAGUGGAUUCGGUGUAAGGUGACUUGUGUUGGGUCCUGGCUGAGUUCAUGGAUUCUUCAUGGAAUAGGACAGAUUCCUCUUCAUAAUUCACUGAACCAGCUACACCCAGCAAAAGAACUCUGGGAGAUGACUAAAAACCAUUACAUUGUAUUCCCAAUGCCUAUAUUUUUGCCCACCUGCAUUUUGGAUUUCCUUCACAGGCUAAUUGUACAAUAUUUCAGAGUCCGAUUCUUUUUGUACAGCAAAAUAACGGCUUGGUCAUACACUAUAUUUAUGGUGUAUCUAAUUUAUACUUUAAUAUAUUUAACAUCUACU
This 1382-nucleotide long non-coding RNA is filed under the name Sarcophilus harrisii (Tasmanian devil). RNAcentral's name for it is "lncRNA (ENSSHAG00000027121.1)". Lineage: Eukaryota; Metazoa; Chordata; Mammalia; Dasyuromorphia; Dasyuridae. The record is from RNAcentral.